UGGAUGGGUUCUUUCUCGUAUGUUACAUGGGAAUGCCGACAGCUCUGUUUUAAUUGUGUUUGACCUAUGUUUUUGUUGUAGGGAAGCAGAAAUGAGAAACAGUAUCUUAGCUCAAGUUCUGGAUCAGUCGGCCCGGGCCAGGUUAAGUAACUUAGCACUUGUAAAGCCUGAAAAAACUAAAGCAGUAGAGAAUUACCUUAUACAGAUGGCAAGAUAUGGACAACUAAGUGAGAAGGUAUCAGAACAAGGUUUAAUAGAAAUCCUUAAAAAAGUAAGCCAACAAACAGAAAAGACAACAACAGUGAAAUUUAACAGAAGAAAAGUAAUGGACUCUGAUGAAGAUGACGAUUAUUGAACUACAAGUGCUCACAGACUAGAACUUAACGGAACAAGUCUAGGACAGAAGUUAAGAUCUGAUUAUUUACUUUGUUUAUUGUCUAUAUGCCUUUUAAAAAAAUAAACUUGUUAUGCAAAAUAAAA
RNAcentral lists this small RNA (480 nucleotides) under Pan troglodytes (chimpanzee). Its description in RNAcentral is "retained intron". The record is from RNAcentral. Lineage: Eukaryota; Metazoa; Chordata; Mammalia; Primates; Hominidae.